UGUGUCAUAGGUUUCGUGCCGGUAUCUGUCCUUGGGGGUCUCCCACCUUGGCUCAGAACGAACGCUGGCGGCAGGCCUAACACAUGCAAGUCGAGCGGUAGCACAGAGAGCUUGCUCUCGGGUGACGAGCGGCGGACGGGUGAGUAAUGUCUGGGAAACUGCCUGAUGGAGGGGGAUAACUACUGGAAACGGUAGCUAAUACCGCAUAACGUCGCAAGACCAAAGUGGGGGACCUUCGGGCCUCAUGCCAUCAGAUGUGCCCAGAUGGGAUUAGCUGGUAGGUGGGGUAACGGCUCACCUAGGCGACGAUCCCUAGCUGGUCUGAGAGGAUGACCAGCCACACUGGAACUGAGACACGGUCCAGACUCCUACGGGAGGCAGCAGUGGGGAAUAUUGCACAAUGGGCGCAAGCCUGAUGCAGCCAUGCCGCGUGUGUGAAGAAGGCCUUCGGGUUGUAAAGCACUUUCAGCGGGGAGGAAGGCGGUGAGGUUAAUAACCUCACCGAUUGACGUUACCCGCAGAAGAAGCACCGGCUAACUCCGUGCCAGCAGCCGCGGUAAUACGGAGGGUGCAAGCGUUAAUCGGAAUUACUGGGCGUAAAGCGCACGCAGGCGGUCUGUCAAGUCGGAUGUGAAAUCCCCGGGCUCAACCUGGGAACUGCAUUCGAAACUGGCAGGCUAGAGUCUUGUAGAGGGGGGUAGAAUUCCAGGUGUAGCGGUGAAAUGCGUAGAGAUCUGGAGGAAUACCGGUGGCGAAGGCGGCCCCCUGGACAAAGACUGACGCUCAGGUGCGAAAGCGUGGGGAGCAAACAGGAUUAGAUACCCUGGUAGUCCACGCUGUAAACGAUGUCGAUUUGGAGGUUGUGCCCUUGAGGCGUGGCUUCCGGAGCUAACGCGUUAAAUCGACCGCCUGGGGAGUACGGCCGCAAGGUUAAAACUCAAAUGAAUUGACGGGGGCCCGCACAAGCGGUGGAGCAUGUGGUUUAAUUCGAUGCAACGCGAAGAACCUUACCUGGUCUUGACAUCCACAGAACUUUCCAGAGAUGGAUUGGUGCCUUCGGGAACUGUGAGACAGGUGCUGCAUGGCUGUCGUCAGCUCGUGUUGUGAAAUGUUGGGUUAAGUCCCGCAACGAGCGCAACCCUUAUCCUUUGUUGCCAGCGGUUAGGCCGGGAACUCAAAGGAGACUGCCAGUGAUAAACUGGAGGAAGGUGGGGAUGACGUCAAGUCAUCAUGGCCCUUACGACCAGGGCUACACACGUGCUACAAUGGCAUAUACAAAGAGAAGCGACCUCGCGAGAGCAAGCGGACCUCAUAAAGUAUGUCGUAGUCCGGAUUGGAGUCUGCAACUCGACUCCAUGAAGUCGGAAUCGCUAGUAAUCGUAGAUCAGAAUGCUACGGUGAAUACGUUCCCGGGCCUUGUACACACCGCCGUCACACCAUGGGA
This 1444-nucleotide ribosomal RNA is filed under the name Klebsiella sp. BR3357. RNAcentral's name for it is "bacterial SSU rRNA". It matches the Rfam family "Bacterial small subunit ribosomal RNA". The record is from RNAcentral. Lineage: Bacteria; Pseudomonadati; Pseudomonadota; Gammaproteobacteria; Enterobacterales; Enterobacteriaceae.